RNAcentral lists this non-coding RNA (789 nucleotides) under Australicapitona hopei. Lineage: Eukaryota; Metazoa; Arthropoda; Insecta; Coleoptera; Carabidae. The record is from RNAcentral.
UUAAAGUUUAAAUCUAGCUUGAAUAUUUAUUUAAUUUUUCUUUUACAUGUAAAUUGUUGUGUGAAUUUUAGCUGAGCUUUAAUAGCUUAGUUAAGUUUUUGUAUUCGCAGUAUUUAAUAUUAUUGAUUUAAGAAAUUAUGAAUUAGGAAUAAAUUUUAUUAUUGACAAAUUUUGUGCCAGCAGUUGCGGUUACACAAAAAAUAUAAAUAAAUAUUAUUGGAAAGUAAUUAAUUGGCAUUAAAUUAAGAUUAAAAUUGAAUUAGUUAGGUGAAAUUAUUAAUUUAGGUUUGGUCUAUAUAGUGGUUGAUAUUAUUACGAAAUUUUUAUUUAAACUAGGAUUAGAUACCCUAUUAUUUAAAAUGUAAAAUUGAUUCCUGGGGAGUAAAAGUUAUGAUCUCGAAAUUUAAAGAUUUUGGCGGUAUUUUAGUCUAUUCAGAGGAACCUGUUUCAUAAUUGAUAGUCCACGAUUGACUCUACUUGGGUUAAUAAGUUUGUAUAUCGUCGUUAUAAGAAGAUUUUAUAAGAAUUUAAAUUUUUAAUAGUUUCAAUAAAUUGAUAUAUCAGAUCAAGGUGCAGCGUAUACUUAAGAAGAAAUGGGUUACAAUAAGUUUAUUUAUGACGGAUUAGGUUAGGAAGAAAUUUGCCUAUGAAGGUGGAUUUGACAGUAAUGUUAUUAAAUUAAUUAAUGUGAUUUUAGCUCUAAAAUAUGUACAUAUCGCCCGUCGCUCUUAUGUAAGUUAAGAUAAGUCGUAACAUAGUAGAUGUACUGGAAAGUGUAUCUAGAAUGAU